GAGCCCUGGGGAGCCCACACACUAAAACUGGAAUGACACACAGAGGAUCAGCACGGUCCCAGAGCAAGCAAGGGUGACACGGAACUUCAUGAAGCAGUCUCUAUUUUU
This is a small nuclear RNA of Lepus europaeus (European hare), 108 nucleotides long. NCBI's taxonomy places the organism in Eukaryota, Metazoa, Chordata, Mammalia, Lagomorpha, Leporidae. The record is from RefSeq and is a predicted model, not a curated record.